This is a non-coding RNA of Cinara cedri, 211 nucleotides long. The record is from the annotation of a GenBank genome assembly. NCBI's taxonomy places the organism in Eukaryota, Metazoa, Arthropoda, Insecta, Hemiptera, Aphididae.
CGUUCAUUCGACAAUAUUAUAGACGGGAACGUACAGUUUUAUUUCUGUUCGAAUCUAAAAGUUCGGCGGAGUGCGAGUUUCGGGAUGUGAAAAAAAUCGUACGUCAAACGCCCUACAACAAUUUCACACGGGACUAAUUGUAAUACAAAGAAAAUCACGAACCGUUAAAAAGACGAUAGCCGAAUUAUUUUCAAUAUUGGCUUUGUGUCGU